AUGCAGUCGAGCGGUAGCACAAGGGAGCUUGCUCCCUGGGUGACGAGCGGCGGACGGGUGAGUAAUGUCUGGGAAACUGCCUGAUGGAGGGGGAUAACUACUGGAAACGGUAGCUAAUACCGCAUAACGUCGCAAGACCAAAGAGGGGGACCUUCGGGCCUCUUGCCAUCAGAUGUGCCCAGAUGGGAUUAGCUAGUAGGUGGGGUAAUGGCUCACCUAGGCGACGAUCCCUAGCUGGUCUGAGAGGAUGACCAGCCACACUGGAACUGAGACACGGUCCAGACUCCUACGGGAGGCAGCAGUGGGGAAUAUUGCACAAUGGGCGCAAGCCUGAUGCAGCCAUGCCGCGUGUGUGAAGAAGGCCUUCGGGUUGUAAAGCACUUUCAGCGAGGAGGAAGGUGGUGAGCUUAAUACGUUCAUCAAUUGACGUUACUCGCAGAAGAAGCACCGGCUAACUCCGUGCCAGCAGCCGCGGUAAUACGGAGGGUGCAAGCGUUAAUCGGAAUUACUGGGCGUAAAGCGCACGCAGGCGGUUUGUUAAGUCAGAUGUGAAAUCCCCGGGCUCAACCUGGGAACUGCAUUUGAAACUGGCAAGCUAGAGUCUCGUAGAGGGGGGUAGAAUUCCAGGUGUAGCGGUGAA
This 640-nucleotide ribosomal RNA is filed under the name Serratia marcescens. RNAcentral describes it as "bacterial SSU rRNA". It matches the Rfam family "Bacterial small subunit ribosomal RNA", at positions 55 to 685 of the family's 1533-position model. Lineage: Bacteria; Pseudomonadati; Pseudomonadota; Gammaproteobacteria; Enterobacterales; Yersiniaceae. The record is from RNAcentral.